AUACGGAGGAUCCGAGCGUUAUCCGGAUUUAUUGGGUUUAAAGGGUGCGCAGGCGGCCAUUUAAGUCAGCGGUUAAAUCGUGGGGCUCAACCUCAUUCUGCCGUUGAUACUGGGUGGCUUGAUUGCGGUCGAGGUUGACGGAAUUCGUUGUGUAGCGGUGAAAUGCAUAGAUAUGACGAAGAACACCGAUUGCGUAGGCAGCUGACCAGACCGCAAAUGACGCUCAUGCACGAAAGUGCGGGGAUCGAACAGGAUUAGAUACCCUGGUAGUCCGCACAGUAAACGAUGAAUACUUGUUUUCGGCGAUAUAAUGUCGGAGGCAAAGCGAAAGCGAUAAGUAUUCCACCUGGGGAGUACGCCGGCAACGGUGAAACUCAAAUGAAUUGACGGGG
Molecule: ribosomal RNA, 392 nt
Filed under: uncultured bacterium
Lineage: Bacteria
Description: partial 16S ribosomal RNA
Rfam family: Bacterial small subunit ribosomal RNA
Source: RNAcentral